ACGUAGGUGGCUAGCGUUAUCCGGAUUUACUGGGCGUAAAGAGUGCGUAGGCGGCCUUUCAAGUCAGGUGUAAAAUCUCCCGGCUCAACUGGGAGGGACCAUCUGAUACUGUUGGGCUGGAGUACAACAGAGGAGAGUGGAAUUCCCGGUGUAGUGGUGGAAUGCGUAGAUAUCGGGAGGAACACCAGUGGCGAAAGCGGCUCUCUGGGUUGUUACUGACGCUGUUGCACGAAAGCGUGGGGAGCAAACAGGAUUAGAUACCCUGGUAGUCCACGCUGUAAACUAUGGACACUGGGUACAGGGAGUAUCGACCCUCUCUGUGCCGAAGCUAACGCGUUAAGUGUCCCGUCUGGGGACUACGGCCGCAAGGUUA
This 373-nucleotide ribosomal RNA is filed under the name uncultured bacterium. RNAcentral's name for it is "bacterial SSU rRNA". It matches the Rfam family "Bacterial small subunit ribosomal RNA", at positions 525 to 896 of the family's 1533-position model. The record is from RNAcentral.